Long non-coding RNA from Neofelis nebulosa (Clouded leopard), 910 nucleotides. RefSeq lists it as uncharacterized. The record is from RefSeq and is a predicted model, not a curated record. Lineage: Eukaryota; Metazoa; Chordata; Mammalia; Carnivora; Felidae. The transcript has 5 exons.
AAGAGCUAGAUCAUAAGCCACAGGUGAAGCCAAGAUUCAAAUAAAAAACCAGUAGAAUUAGAACUCAAGAGGUCAUAAAGGAAGGCUAGACAUAAGUGAUGACCAAAAGAAAAUAAGUACUCGUGACAUGUGCAGCUUUUCUUUAGGUACGAAGGCCUAAAUGAAAAGCCAAGCCAAAGGCAUUAUUUGCAGUGCUGAACAUCAGCAUAUAUACUUUACAAUCCAGCAAUACCACUUACAGAUGUAUAAGCUAGAGAAACUUACCAAGGUGCACCAACAGGGAGCUGAGGUCACGAGGCAACCACAAGAACUGAAUUUCAGAAAGAGACAAGCCCUUCCAAGGAGAAAUAAGACAUGGAAAUUAUUUUACCUUUGCCAGAGCACAAGCAAAACACAGAGCUGCUACAAAAAAAGGUGAAUGUGUGCUCAGCCUCACUGCAUGGCACCUCCCACAGACCCAAAGUAUGAAGACAUCUCUGGGUUUCUAUUGGCAAUUGAAUUACGGCAUAAAACAUACCAAUUCUUGAUCUGUGAAAAAGGUUAUGACAUUUGCUAUCCAUGAGUCAAAACUCAAGGCCUAAUUUUAAGGAUAUUCAUUGCUAAGAUGUUAAGCUUCCACUUUCAAUGUUUGCCAUAACCUAUGUCCCUCAGGAAGUGGAGCCUGUGGCAGAGGGUACCCAUCUCCCGUUGGACAAAGAUUCACAAGAGAGUGUUCAUUCUCCUGUACGUCGGGGCUGCACCCACAUGGACACCAGGUGGAGUGUCUUGUCUCUGGCCUGAGGCAGUCUGCAUGAAGCCGAGGGAGCUGGUACAGAGUGGCAGCUGGAAAACACACAGGCAGAUCUCAAGUGGUGUAGAAGAGGUGUCUGCCAUAAUGCCUCAUCUACUCUGCACUUGCAAAUUUAUAACU